Molecule: non-coding RNA, 45 nt
Organism: Schistosoma haematobium
Lineage: Eukaryota; Metazoa; Platyhelminthes; Trematoda; Strigeidida; Schistosomatidae
Source: Rfam
AUUCAGCUGACGAGUCUCAAAUAAGAUGAAACAUACGUAGUGAAU